UAACUCACCUGCCGAAGCAACUAGCCCUGAAAAUGGAUGGCGCUGAAGCGUCGUGCCUAUACCCGACCGUCGCGGCGGGGCGGACCCGGUCUCGAAUCGGGUGCCGUUCGAUGCGGCGACGAGUAGGAGGGUCGCGGCGGCGCGCGCAGAAGGGUCUGGGCUCGAGCCUGCCUGGAGCCGCCGCCGGUGCAGAUCUUGGUGGUAGUAGCAAAUACUCCAGCGAGGCCCU
RNAcentral lists this ribosomal RNA (229 nucleotides) under Coenagrion sp. PVG-2012. Its description in RNAcentral is "partial 28S ribosomal RNA". It matches the Rfam family "Eukaryotic large subunit ribosomal RNA", at positions 1286 to 1484 of the family's 3401-position model. The record is from RNAcentral. Lineage: Eukaryota; Metazoa; Arthropoda; Insecta; Odonata; Coenagrionidae.